CCGGAAAUUCAUAAAAAUUUGCGGUAAUGACAUGGAGACACUUCUUUCUGAAUAACUAGUGAGAUUUGCUUUGUGUGGCAAUGGGGGAGGAGAAGGGCUUGUAUCACCUCCCUCACGACUCCACAGCCACUUUAAAACACGCGGCGCUUAUUCAGACUGACAGCAGAACCAGUUUGCUCUUAUUCACACACCCACUAAUUCUCAGUCAGAUGAGUUCCUCUCCUGACAAAGAACUGGAUUAGGAGUCAUUCUACUAGUACGCUAAACAAUUUCCAGAAGACUGAACUACACCAACAUCAGAUCAUCAGAUCAAACAUCAGUUCCAGUGUUCAGCCAUGGUGCUGUUUGAGGAUCAGGAAUGUGGGGUCUGUUACCUGCGUUACUCCCGCAUCGACCGCGUUCCCAGAACUCUCCACUGCAACCACACAUUCUGCACCCCCUGUUUGGAGACAAUGGGGCUGCAUUACAGCAGCCUGCGCACCAUUCGCUGUCCCCUCUGUCGCCAGGUGACUUGUGUGGACCGUGGGCUCAGCUUGCAGGAGGCUCUUUUUGUCAAUAGCCAAGUGUGGGACAACAUUUGCGAUGAGCAAGAGGAGGAAGAGGACGAGAGAGAACAGGAAAAAGAGGAAGAGGGGGAAAACGCUAAUAUGCAGGUGCUGCCCUCAUCACAGGUUGAAUGUCCAGUGCGAAAACAACACAGACCCAAACUCCGACUCCCGUCUUUCCUGAAGAGAAUGAGUUUUUCCAGGCACCCCGAAGAGAGGAUUGUUCCCACCUGCAAUGUGUAAGUCUUACUGUAAUGAUCGACAACUCAGUUGUGUAUGCCAUGUGCUAAUUACGUCUGGCGUAGCCUACUGAAAAAGCGGGAGCAACAGUCAGUCCUGGACAAGGUUGUUUAAACAAAUCCAAUCCCCUUCCAUGUGCUUCUGCGACUGCAUUUUCCACUUGAAUAGCCACAAGUCCGAAUCCUGCUCCUCCAUCUGAGGGGAACUUCUCAUUAGAUAUUCCACCCUUAAUCCGUCCCAGCUGCUGAGGCCGGAUUUGCUUCAGCUGUCCCGAGAGACGGAGGGUCCCAGAUGCGAAACAAGACUUUCAGAACAGAUGGCAUCUUGUGAAAGAUUCUGAUCACCCCCACAUCUCAAAUGGACUCUUUUAAGUUAUUUUAAGCUUUGUUAUUUAUAUAACUUAUAAAUUAUUGUAAAUUCAAAAAUCUGAUUGCUAAAUGUUGUUGGUUACUUUUUAAACAGUACAUCAUUAUGUCCUGAUUUACAUGCCUAUCUAGAGCAGAGGGGGUUCAAACUUUUUGAUACAAAGACCCCGAAUAUGACAUUACCUUUCUGAGGGACCUCUGUUUCCAAAGAAAAAAUAAUCAACUUUUUUUAUAUUAUCAUUGUGCUUGAAAAAGAAUAAAACAAAUGCAAUACCAUGACUUUUACUAGGCAAAUGAACAAUUAUAUAUGAAAUGAAAUGUUGAAAUGUACAAAUUAAU
Molecule: long non-coding RNA, 1489 nt
Organism: Sinocyclocheilus grahami
Lineage: Eukaryota; Metazoa; Chordata; Actinopteri; Cypriniformes; Cyprinidae
Product: E3 ubiquitin-protein ligase RNF168-like
Source: Ensembl